GGAAACGUAAAAUGAUUGGCUAGAAUCCAAAGUGUAUGACAUUUCAGGAAAAAAAAAGCACGGAAAUAAAGCACCGACAUGUGCGCUGUCUUACGGUCUGGUUACUACCGUUUAUGUCAGAACCGGUGCCAUAAUUGGCACCGGAUACCGGUACCCAUCCCUACACCUGUCUCCCUCUCAUUCACAAACAUCUACUCUGUGUUCCUUCAACUGAUUUUCCUUCCUCUUCUCCCUAGUGCAUACUUCCACUUCUCCACGGUCUUGUCACAAACAUGUUGUGUGCAAACAUCAUAGUCCAGUUUAUUACUUAGUAUCUACUGAUAUUUACUGCUAGCUAGUUUAUUGUGAUGGUGCCGUUUUUUUUAUUAUGUUGCUCUUUGUUGUUUGCUUUCUCUUCUGUUUUUUUUUCUCCAUACAGGUGACCCAGGUGUUUUUUUUGUUUUUUUUGUUGUUUGGUUGUUUUUUUUUUCUUCUUUCUUCCCCCCCUUCUCACCGUCUCUUCUCCCCUUUGGUUUUCUUUCUCUCCCUCUUUUUCUUUCAUUCUUUCUCCCUGUCCUAUCCCCCAGUCAUGUCUGUCCCGUUUGUAGCAACUGAAAAUAAAAUAAAUUCAUAAUUAUAAUAAAGGUCAAUCAAAUGGACCAAUAUGGCAAGGCCAUGAUGAUCCACUUGAUAAAAUAAAUCCACUUGGCAUCUUUCUUGGCCUUAAGACAACAAUUCUGAUGGCUAAAGAUCCAAACGGGACACAAAAAAACCAAAAAAAAAACCCAAACAAACAAAAAAAAAAACCCCAUCAUAGUCCACAGAGUGACCCACCUGACCUCAGCGCUUUCUCAUGUAAACCUUCCCCCAACUUGAACCAAUUAUCCCAACAAACUGUCUUUAUUUGUUAUGACAUUAGUUUGUUUGUUGUAUUUCAGAACCCCACCCACCCCAUUUUUGUUUUUCCUCCACUUGAAAAGCUGGCAUAUCUGAGCCUUUACCAAGUGUUUUUCUUGUUUCCUCUCCUGAGAAGUGGUUCAUAGAUGUUAGCCACCCUCUGAGACCACCACAGGAAAGCCUUCUAUUCUCAGGAUUUUCCCUGACUGGAGUCUUGUGUUCUGCAUUUAGUUAACUCUGUGCCUGAUGAAGUUGCUAUUCUAUCUUUCAGCAAAACAAAACUGGAUGUAUU
Astatotilapia calliptera (eastern happy) is the source of this 1168-nucleotide long non-coding RNA. The record is from Ensembl. Lineage: Eukaryota; Metazoa; Chordata; Actinopteri; Cichliformes; Cichlidae.